CGUAGGGUGCAAGCGUUAAUCGGAAUUACUGGGCGUAAAGCGUGCGCAGGCGGUUAUGUAAGACAGAUGUGAAAUCCCCGGGCUCAACCUGGGAACUGCAUUUGUGACUGCAUAGCUUGAGUGCGGCAGAGGGGGAUGGAAUUCCGCGUGUAGCAGUGAAAUGCGUAGAUAUGCGGAGGAACACCGAUGGCGAAGGCAAUCCCCUGGGCCUGCACUGACGCUCAUGCACGAAAGCGUGGGGAGCAAACAGGAUUAGAUACCCUGGUACGUCCACGCCCUAAACGAUGUCAACUGGUUGUUGGGAAGGUUCCCUCUCAGUAACGUAGCUAACGCGUGAAGUUGACCGCCUGGGGAGUACGGCCGCAAGGUUG
RNAcentral lists this ribosomal RNA (371 nucleotides) under uncultured organism. Its description in RNAcentral is "bacterial SSU rRNA". It matches the Rfam family "Bacterial small subunit ribosomal RNA", at positions 526 to 896 of the family's 1533-position model. The record is from RNAcentral.